This is a long non-coding RNA of Pungitius pungitius (ninespine stickleback), 243 nucleotides long. RefSeq lists it as uncharacterized. The record is from RefSeq and is a predicted model, not a curated record. NCBI's taxonomy places the organism in Eukaryota, Metazoa, Chordata, Actinopteri, Perciformes, Gasterosteidae. The transcript is spliced from 2 exons.
GUGAAUUCUUCACGGGAGAAUGUCGAUGCUUUUAUUUUGAAGUUUUAUUUUGACAGCGCAUGUUGUUUCCGCUUCCGGUACCGCGAAUACACGCUACGCGACACGGACAGUAGAUCCGUUAGAUCGAGUCAUUGAUGAUAAACUCCAUCCAUCUUUACGGUCAUCUUACUGUCCACUAUGUAACUCCUUCUGUCAACUAAUCUGUAAGCCUACAACGGGUAAAUACAGAAGGGUAUAAAACAA